AGCCUCAAUAGCCGCGCGUCACCUCUCCAGCCGGGAGAGGGUCGCGGGGUGCUUCUUUAGCCCCGCGCGCUCUCCCGGCUGGAGAGGUGACGCGGGGCU
This 99-nucleotide microRNA precursor is filed under the name Podarcis lilfordi (Lilford's wall lizard). Lineage: Eukaryota; Metazoa; Chordata; Lepidosauria; Squamata; Lacertidae. The record is from RNAcentral.